This 429-nucleotide ribosomal RNA is filed under the name Bacteroidota bacterium. RNAcentral's name for it is "Bacteroidetes bacterium partial 16S ribosomal RNA". It matches the Rfam family "Bacterial small subunit ribosomal RNA", at positions 355 to 776 of the family's 1533-position model. The record is from RNAcentral. Lineage: Bacteria; Pseudomonadati; Bacteroidota.
UAGGGAAUCUUCCGCAAUGGACGCAAGUCUGACGGAGCAACGCCGCGUGAGUGAAGAAGGAUUUCGGUUCGUAAAACUCUGUUGUUAGAGAAGAACAGCGCAUAGAGUAACUGUUACGCGUGUGACGGUAUCUAACCAGAAAGCCACGGCUAACUACGUGCCAGCAGCCGCGGUAAUACGUAGGUGGCAAGCGUUGUCCGGAUUUAUUGGGCGUAAAGCGAGCGCAGGCGGUCAAUUAAGUCUGAUGUGAAAGCCCCCGGCUCAACCGGGGAGGGUCAUUGGAAACUGGUUGACUUGAGUGCAGAAGAGGAGAGUGGAAUUCCAUGUGUAGCGGUGAAAUGCGUAGAUAUAUGGAGGAACACCAGUGGCGAAGGCGACUCUCUGGUCUGUAACUGACGCUGAGGCUCGAAAGCGUGGGUAGCAAACAGG